Molecule: ribosomal RNA, 2891 nt
Filed under: Pseudomonas amygdali pv. tabaci
Lineage: Bacteria; Pseudomonadati; Pseudomonadota; Gammaproteobacteria; Pseudomonadales; Pseudomonadaceae
Also listed under: 1 other name
Description: bacterial LSU rRNA
Rfam family: Bacterial large subunit ribosomal RNA
Source: RNAcentral
UCAAGUGAAGAAGCGCAUACGGUGGAUGCCUUGGCAGUCAGAGGCGAUGAAAGACGUGGUAGCCUGCGAAAAGCUUCGGGGAGUCGGCAAACAGACUGUGAUCCGGAGAUGUCUGAAUGGGGGAACCCAGCCAUCAUAAGAUGGUUAUCUUGUACUGAAUACAUAGGUGCAAGAGGCGAACCAGGGGAACUGAAACAUCUAAGUACCCUGAGGAAAAGAAAUCAACCGAGAUUCCCUUAGUAGUGGCGAGCGAACGGGGACCAGCCCUUAAGUUGUAUUGAGAUUAGCGGAACGUUCUGGAAAGGACGGCCAUAGUGGGUGAUAGCCCUGUACGCGAAAAUCCCUUUGCAAUGAAAUCGAGUAGGACGGGGCACGAGAAACCUUGUCUGAAUAUGGGGGGACCAUCCUCCAAGGCUAAAUACUACUGACUGACCGAUAGUGAACCAGUACCGUGAGGGAAAGGCGAAAAGAACCGCGGAGAGCGGAGUGAAAUAGAUCCUGAAACCGUAUGCGUACAAGCAGUGGGAGCCCACUUUGUUGGGUGACUGCGUACCUUUUGUAUAAUGGGUCAGCGACUUAUUUUCAGUGGCGAGCUUAACCGAAUAGGGGAGGCGUAGCGAAAGCGAGUCUUAAUAGGGCGUCUAGUCGCUGGGAAUAGACCCGAAACCGGGCGAUCUAUCCAUGGGCAGGUUGAAGGUUGGGUAACACUAACUGGAGGACCGAACCGACUACCGUUGAAAAGUUAGCGGAUGACCUGUGGAUCGGAGUGAAAGGCUAAUCAAGCUCGGAGAUAGCUGGUUCUCCUCGAAAGCUAUUUAGGUAGCGCCUCAUGUAUCACUGUAGGGGGUAGAGCACUGUUUCGGCUAGGGGGUCAUCCCGACUUACCAAACCGAUGCAAACUCCGAAUACCUACAAGUGCCGAGCAUGGGAGACACACGGCGGGUGCUAACGUCCGUCGUGAAAAGGGAAACAACCCAGACCGUCAGCUAAGGUCCCAAAGUCAUGGUUAAGUGGGAAACGAUGUGGGAAGGCUUAGACAGCUAGGAGGUUGGCUUAGAAGCAGCCACCCUUUAAAGAAAGCGUAAUAGCUCACUAGUCGAGUCGGCCUGCGCGGAAGAUGUAACGGGGCUCAAACCAUGCACCGAAGCUACGGGUAUCAUCUUUUGAUGAUGCGGUAGAGGAGCGUUCUGUAAGCCUGUGAAGGUGAGUUGAGAAGCUUGCUGGAGGUAUCAGAAGUGCGAAUGCUGACAUGAGUAACGACAAUGGGUGUGAAAAACACCCACGCCGAAAGACCAAGGUUUCCUGCGCAACGUUAAUCGACGCAGGGUUAGUCGGUCCCUAAGGCGAGGCUGAAAAGCGUAGUCGAUGGAAAACAGGUUAAUAUUCCUGUACUUCUGGUUAUUGCGAUGGAGGGACGGAGAAGGCUAGGCCAGCCUGGCGUUGGUUGUCCAGGUUUAAGGUGGUAGGCUGAGAUCUUAGGUAAAUCCGGGAUCUCAAGGCCGAGAGCUGAUGACGAGUGUUCUUUAGAACACGAAGUGGUUGAUGCCAUGCUUCCAAGAAAAGCUUCUAAGCUUCAGGUAACCAGGAACCGUACCCCAAACCGACACAGGUGGUUGGGUAGAGAAUACCAAGGCGCUUGAGAGAACUCGGGUGAAGGAACUAGGCAAAAUGGCACCGUAACUUCGGGAGAAGGUGCGCCGGUGAGGGUGAAGCAUUUACUGCGUAAGCCCACGCCGGUCGAAGAUACCAGGCCGCUGCGACUGUUUAUUAAAAACACAGCACUCUGCAAACACGAAAGUGGACGUAUAGGGUGUGACGCCUGCCCGGUGCCGGAAGGUUAAUUGAUGGGGUUAGCGCAAGCGAAGCUCUUGAUCGAAGCCCCGGUAAACGGCGGCCGUAACUAUAACGGUCCUAAGGUAGCGAAAUUCCUUGUCGGGUAAGUUCCGACCUGCACGAAUGGCGUAACGAUGGCGGCGCUGUCUCCACCCGAGACUCAGUGAAAUUGAAAUCGCUGUGAAGAUGCAGUGUAUCCGCGGCUAGACGGAAAGACCCCGUGAACCUUUACUAUAGCUUUGCACUGGACUUUGAAUUUGCUUGUGUAGGAUAGGUGGGAGGCUUUGAAGCGUGGACGCCAGUCUGCGUGGAGCCAACCUUGAAAUACCACCCUGGCAACUUUGAGGUUCUAACUCAGGUCCGUUAUCCGGAUCGAGGACAGUGUAUGGUGGGUAGUUUGACUGGGGCGGUCUCCUCCUAAAGAGUAACGGAGGAGUACGAAGGUGCGCUCAGACCGGUCGGAAAUCGGUCGUAGAGUAUAAAGGCAAAAGCGCGCUUGACUGCGAGACAGACACGUCGAGCAGGUACGAAAGUAGGUCUUAGUGAUCCGGUGGUUCUGUAUGGAAGGGCCAUCGCUCAACGGAUAAAAGGUACUCCGGGGAUAACAGGCUGAUACCGCCCAAGAGUUCAUAUCGACGGCGGUGUUUGGCACCUCGAUGUCGGCUCAUCACAUCCUGGGGCUGAAGCCGGUCCCAAGGGUAUGGCUGUUCGCCAUUUAAAGUGGUACGCGAGCUGGGUUUAGAACGUCGUGAGACAGUUCGGUCCCUAUCUGCCGUGGACGUUUGAGAUUUGAGAGGGGCUGCUCCUAGUACGAGAGGACCGGAGUGGACGAACCUCUGGUGUUCCGGUUGUCACGCCAGUGGCAUUGCCGGGUAGCUAUGUUCGGAAAAGAUAACCGCUGAAAGCAUCUAAGCGGGAAACUUGCCUCAAGAUGAGAUCUCACUGGAACCUUGAGUUCCCUAAAGGGCCGUCGAAGACUACGACGUUGAUAGGUUGGGUGUGUAAGCGCUGUGAGGCGUUGAGCUAACCAAUACUAAUUGCCCGUGAGGCUUGACCAU